UGGGGAAUUUUGGACAAUGGGGGAAACCCUGAUCCAGCCAUGCCGCGUGAGUGAAGAAGGCCUUCGGGUUGUAAAGCUCUUUCGGCUGGGAAGAAAUCGCACAGGCUAAUACUCUGUGUGGAUGACGGUACCAGCACAAGAAGCACCGGCUAACUACGUGCCAGCAGCCGCGGUAAUACGUAGGGUGCGAGCGUUAAUCGGAAUUACUGGGCGUAAAGCGUGCGCAGGCGGUUGUGCAAGACAGAUGUGAAAUCCCCGGGCUCAACCUGGGAACUGCAUUUGUGACUGCACGACUAGAGUACGGCAGAGGGGGGUAGAAUUCCACGUGUAGCAGUGAAAUGCGUAGAGAUGUGGAGGAAUACCGAUGGCGAAGGCAGCCCCCUGGGUCGAUACUGACGCUCAUGCACGAAAGCGUGGGGAGCAAACAGGAUUAGAUACCCUGGUA
This 445-nucleotide ribosomal RNA is filed under the name uncultured bacterium. Its description in RNAcentral is "bacterial SSU rRNA". It matches the Rfam family "Bacterial small subunit ribosomal RNA", at positions 355 to 792 of the family's 1533-position model. The record is from RNAcentral.